Molecule: ribosomal RNA, 402 nt
Filed under: uncultured bacterium
Lineage: Bacteria
Description: bacterial SSU rRNA
Rfam family: Bacterial small subunit ribosomal RNA
Source: RNAcentral
UAGGGAAUAUUGGACAAUGGUGGCAACACUGAUCCAGCCAUGCCGCGUGCAGGAUGACGGCCCUAUGGGUUGUAAACUGCUUUUGUACGGGAAAAAACCCUUGUUCGUGAACAAGGCUGAUGGUACCGUAAGAAUAAGGAUCGGCUAACUCCGUGCCAGCAGCCGCGGUAAUACGGAGGAUCCAAGCGUUAUCCGGAUUUAUUGGGUUUAAAGGGUGCGUAGGCGGAUUGAUAAGUCAGUGGUGAAAGCCUACAGCUUAACUGUAGAAUUGCCGUUGAUACUGUUAGUCUUGAGUAUAUUUGAAGUGGGCGGAAUGUGCAGUGUAGCGGUGAAAUGCUUAGAUAUUGCACAGAACACCAAUUGCGAAGGCAGCUCACUAAACUAUAACUGACGCUGAGGCAC